Molecule: signal recognition particle RNA, 100 nt
Filed under: Acetatifactor sp.
Lineage: Bacteria; Bacillati; Bacillota; Clostridia; Lachnospirales; Lachnospiraceae
Description: signal recognition particle sRNA small type
Rfam family: Bacterial small signal recognition particle RNA
About the family: The signal recognition particle (SRP) is a universally conserved ribonucleoprotein involved in the co-translational targeting of proteins to membranes. Archaeal SRP consists of a 7S RNA and homologues of the eukaryotic SRP19 and SRP54 proteins. In most bacteria, the SRP consists of a 4.5S RNA and the Ffh protein (a homologue of the eukaryotic SRP54 protein).
Source: RNAcentral
AAUUCGGUCUCACGCAAUGGGAAUCCGCGAACCGUGUCAGGUUGGGAACAAAGCAGCACUAAGCGGAAGCUCUCAUGUGCCGUGAGGGUGCCGGGUGGAG